Anarrhichthys ocellatus (wolf-eel) is the source of this 872-nucleotide long non-coding RNA. RefSeq lists it as uncharacterized. NCBI's taxonomy places the organism in Eukaryota, Metazoa, Chordata, Actinopteri, Perciformes, Anarhichadidae. The record is from RefSeq and is a predicted model, not a curated record. The transcript has 3 exons.
UCUAAUUGAAAGACGGCCCUGCUAUCCACUUAGCCACAGUCGCCCCAGUCGCCCACAGCAUCACAGCAUUGAACAGCAUUGAGGCUCACUGAUGUGUUUUUAAUGGAGCUCAUGUGUGAUGCACACGGCACUAAUUCACUGCUGGUUUCGGUGUAUAUUCACUAAACUAAAUUACAGUUGAUCAGAUCUUCAUGAAUCCAUGCCCACAAAGUCAACAUGAGACACUUUUGGGGCCUCGAGUUGAAAAUCCAACCAGGAAAUUUACUGAUUCAAUUCUCUGAUUAGAAGACUAUUUUUACUGCAGUUUUUAUGAUUUUUUGUAGUUUUUUAACAGAAGUUGUUUGGUUGUUUUGUCUCGUGCUCUUCUUUCAUGUGUUUUUAUUGUGAUGUUUGUUUUUUUCCGCUCAAUCCGAGACGACCUCGUCCUCUGAGAGACACUAAAGUAACUUUAACCUUCCAGGACAAGAACACAGACUGAGUCACGAGAGAAGAAAAGGUUCAACUGUAUCUGUUUAGAGGGAAAGUGUUGCAAUGCAGAGUAAGACAGAGUGCAAAUAAAGUCUGCAGCGAGGAGCUGAUGAUGAAUCACUGACGGUCAGUUACAGAUCAGACUCAUCAACCAGCUGACCGAUCAAAGGCUUCUGAGAGACUAGAUAAGACUUCCUGUCCCGCCUCCAACCAUGAGUGACAUUUACGAGUCGGCGGCCAACUCUCUGGGUCUGUUCAGCAGUCCCUGUCUGACCAAAGUGGAGCUGAGGGUCACCUGCAAAGGGAUCUCAGACCGGGACGCUCUGUCCAAACCAGACCCCUGCUUCGUCCUCAAGAUGAAGUCCCACGGACAGUGGAUGGAGGUAUGCCGCCACAACAACCAC